AAGGCGAAACCGCGAAUGGCUCAUUAAAUCAGUUAUGGUUCCUUGGAUCGUACCUUACUACUUGGAUAACUGUGGCAAUUCUAGAGCUAAUACAUGCAGCAGAGCUCCGACCUUCGGGGACGAGCGCUUUUAUUAGACCAAAACCAAUCGGGCCUCGUGUCCGUGAAAUGUGGUGACUCUGUAUAACUUUGGGCUGAUCGCACGGGCUCGUCCCGGCGACGUAUCUUUCAAGUGUCGCCUUAUCAACUGUCGAUGGUAGGUUACGCGCCUACCAUGGUCGUAACGGGUGACGGGGAAUCAGGGUUCGAUUCCGGAGAGGGCGCCUGAGAAACGGCGACCACAUCCAAGGAAGGCAGCAGGCGCGCAAAUUACCCACUCCCGGCACGGGGAGGUAGUGACGAAAAAUAACAAUACGGGACUCUUUUGAGACCCCGUAAUUGGAAUGAGUACACUCUAAAGCCUUUAACGAUUAGCAACUAGAGGGCAAGUCUGGUGCCAGCCGCUGCGGUAAUUCCAGCUCUAGUAGUGUAUAUUAAAGUUGUUGCGGUUAAAAAGCUCGUAGUUGGAUCUCAGUUCGAGCCUGGUGGUCCGCCAAACGGUGGUUACUGCCGGGUUUCAACACGGCCGGUUUCUCUUGAUGAUCUUCGCCGGUUGUCUCGGGUGACCGGCACGUUUACUUUGAAAAAAUUAGAGUGCUCAAAGCAGGCGUGACGCCUGAAUAAUGUUGCAUGGAAUAAUGGAAUAGGACCUCUGUUCUAUUUUGUUGGUUUUCGGAAC
This 777-nucleotide ribosomal RNA is filed under the name Ero sp. GH1246. RNAcentral's name for it is "SSU rRNA". It matches the Rfam family "Eukaryotic small subunit ribosomal RNA", at positions 78 to 857 of the family's 1831-position model. The record is from RNAcentral. Lineage: Eukaryota; Metazoa; Arthropoda; Arachnida; Araneae; Mimetidae.